This 253-nucleotide ribosomal RNA is filed under the name uncultured bacterium. RNAcentral's name for it is "partial 16S ribosomal RNA". It matches the Rfam family "Bacterial small subunit ribosomal RNA", at positions 524 to 776 of the family's 1533-position model. The record is from RNAcentral.
UACGUAGGGCGCAAGCGUUGUCCGGAAUUAUUGGGCGUAAAGAGCUCGUAGGCGGUUUGUCGCGUCUGCUGUGAAAACCUAAGGCUCAACCUUGGGCUUGCAGUGGGUACGGGCAGACUAGAGUGCGGUAGGGGUGACUGGAAUUCCUGGUGUAGCGGUGGAAUGCGCAGAUAUCAGGAGGAACACCGGUGGCGAAGGCGGCACUCUGGGCCGGUACUGACGCUGAGGAGCGAAAGCGUGGGGAGCGAACAGG